CCUUCAGAUUCUCUCCUCCCGCUCGGGUUUUUCCCAGAGAGAGAACGAUAGAGAGACCAACAGAAGGAGUGAGAGAGUGAGAGAAAGACAGGAGGGGGAGGGGAGGGGGGGCGAUAUCGCCGCCCUGGCGGACAAGGCCUUCUACUCAACAUCUGACCCACUUGUCCUUGUGAGGCUCACGGAACCCAUCCCAAAAGAGGAGCGAACCCUAGAUGACCGUUCAUCCACCACAGGACAUGAAGGUUACAAUACAAAAAACGCAGGGAUAAAGCUUCAUAUCCCUGUGAUGUUCCUCAAUGUUUAGAGAACAAAGACUAUGAAGUGCUGUUUCUAUGAGCUUGUACAUGUCUAGUUUCCCUGAGGUUUCAUAAAGUCACAAAGUUGUCUUAAUGUUGUCUCGCUACUCUGUAUUCAUGGUUGCACAUGUCUCUCGCUGUAUGUCUUUCCUGCUUAUCAAACGAAGGAAACAUCACUCAUGUUUAAUUUGGAUGCAGAAGUGGGAGUUUCAACAUGAGAAAGAUAAUGUAGUUGAUUAUGCGGAUGCAGCAAUAGCAGCAGGAGAGGGCGCUACACACUAAACGGAGGGAGGGGGGUGAACUGAGGAGGAGAAGGUGUUAAAUCAUAUGCUUUUAAUGUUAGUGCAGCUUUAACUAGUGCAAAAAUACUAAAUGAAGAAACAGGAUUUGUGAAGUCAGCUGGGGUUUCUGUUUAGAAUGUGUGGAUCAACGCUGCCCAGUCUUAAGUUUCAUCGCUUUAGUCCUGAUUAAAAAUGUCUUUAUGAAAAACCUGCUAGUGAACAAAUAUUUGAAUUCUUUAGUUGUUUUACUCCACUUGAUGAUGCUUUUGUAAUUCAACUCAAUUUAAUUCAUACAUCAUCUCUUAACUACAGUAGAGAGUUUACAAGAUGCAAAAAUAUGACCCAAGUUUAACAACACAGGCAACAGUGAACAGGGAAACCUGCCGCAGAACCAGGCCUCCAGCAGAACCAGGUCUGGAGUUAGAGGACACUUUGCUGUUUGACCUUUCACCCCAUUACAGUCUGAAGAAGUACCCAGAUACUUAUUCUGGGGUUAAACAUACACUGUUGUCCAGUACUGCUUUAAAUUGCAGGCAGGCCCUGACAGUUAACCUUUGAUCUGUGAGAUGAUUUUUAUGUGGCUAAUCAGGUCUGAUAUGAGCAUGACAUGCAAAUGCCUACAACAAGUAAUACACUAAAACUUUGCAAGAGGUUUUGAUGUCAGAAUUCAUUGAUCAUUUAUUAAUGCGAUUUAAACCUGAUCGUGUUUUUGCUGCAAUGCUACACAUGAAGACACUGAAGCCAGCUGGUUGACUGAGCUGUAGCACCUCCUGCUGCCACAUGGAGAUGCUGAAGCUUCAUAUCAACUCCAGCUAUUCGAGCCAUUGCAGAGCCAUUGGCUUUGUGCAGGAACACACAAGCACUCAGAAGAAAGAUGCUCUAAACUGCUGAGCUGCCCUCAGAGAACAAUUUUUAACUUAUGGUGCCUACAACUGUAAUCUUAUUAGUUCCUAUAUAUAGGAGUCACACAAUGCAACGGACCACUUAUUAAAGGGAUACUUCACCAAUGAAAGGCAAGUUGUGUUAAAAAAUUGGACAUUUUAUUAGCCAAAAUGUGUAAAAGCGUCUCACAUCAGCCGUUCACAUCACUCACAUAACAUUGAUGGUCUAUGUCCAGAGAAAACAGGGAAAAGCGGCAGUAUUAUUUGUUGUGGGUGAAAAUGGUCACAUCCUAUAAUACCCAAAAAUGCACUGUGCCCACAUGACUCUCCCGGUGCAGUGAUUGGACCCACCUGAUCCUGUGGGGCGUGUUACUCCUCCAGUUUAGAGACAAACGUUCGGACAUAAGUUUUGUCACAACUCAGGACUCAUGAACGUUAUUCUUAGUUUCUGGUUUUGGUUUACUUCCUGUUUAGUUCCUGGUCUGCCCUAGUUUUCUCCUGUUUUGCUUUCCUGUCAUGUGAUUCACCAGCCGUUGUCAAUCAGUAAUAAGUAAGUAAACCCCAGUACUCACCACACUCUUUGCUCACUUACCUGUGUCAACUCUCCAGCGUCAUUAUCCUGUAAGUCCUUCCUGUGUACCAGUUCUAGUUUUGUUGCUGACCUUGCCUGCUCCCUUGAUUCUGGUUUUGGACUCUUGCCUGAGUUUGACCACCAAUUAUCUGAUCCCUGUCUGUGCAGCUGCUAUCCUCCAUGUAAACCUGUGUACCGACCUCUGCCUGUCUGGCCAACGAGCUUCAAUAAAUCCCCACAAACUGA
Long non-coding RNA from Betta splendens (Siamese fighting fish), 2275 nucleotides. RefSeq lists it as uncharacterized. The transcript is spliced from 2 exons. NCBI's taxonomy places the organism in Eukaryota, Metazoa, Chordata, Actinopteri, Anabantiformes, Osphronemidae. The record is from RefSeq and is a predicted model, not a curated record.